CCUACGGGUGGCUGCAGUGGGGAAUUUUGGACAAUGGGCGCAAGCCUGAUCCAGCCAUGCCGCGUGUCUGAAGAAGGCCUUCGGGUUGUAAAGGACUUUUGUCCGGGAGCAAAUACCCAGUGCUAAUAACGCUGGGGGCUGAGAGUACCGGAAGAAUAAGCACCGGCUAACUACGUGCCAGCAGCCGCGGUAAUACGUAGGGUGCAAGCGUUAAUCGGAAUUACUGGGCGUAAAGCGUGCGCAGGCGGUCUUGUAAGCCAGAUGUGAAAGCCCCG
RNAcentral lists this ribosomal RNA (275 nucleotides) under uncultured Vogesella sp. RNAcentral's name for it is "partial 16S ribosomal RNA". It matches the Rfam family "Bacterial small subunit ribosomal RNA", at positions 338 to 605 of the family's 1533-position model. Lineage: Bacteria; Pseudomonadati; Pseudomonadota; Betaproteobacteria; Neisseriales; Chromobacteriaceae. The record is from RNAcentral.